UACGAAGGGGGCUAGCGUUGCUCGGAAUGACUGGGCGUAAAGGGCGCGUAGGCGGAUGGUUUUGUCGGGCGUGAAAUUCCAGGGCUUAACCUUGGGGCUGCGUUCGAGACGGAUUGUCUAGAGUUUGGCAGAGGGUCGUGGAAUUCCCAGUGUAGAGGUGAAAUUCGUAGAUAUUGGGAAGAACACCGGUGGCGAAGGCGGCGACCUGGUCCAAGACUGACGCUGAUGCGCGAAAGCGUGGGGAGCAAACAGG
RNAcentral lists this ribosomal RNA (253 nucleotides) under uncultured bacterium. Its description in RNAcentral is "partial 16S ribosomal RNA". It matches the Rfam family "Bacterial small subunit ribosomal RNA", at positions 524 to 776 of the family's 1533-position model. The record is from RNAcentral.